Molecule: transfer RNA, 88 nt
Filed under: Lactiplantibacillus plantarum
Lineage: Bacteria; Bacillati; Bacillota; Bacilli; Lactobacillales; Lactobacillaceae
Also listed under: 20 other names
Description: Lactobacillus plantarum tRNA-Leu
Rfam family: tRNA
About the family: Transfer RNA (tRNA) molecules are approximately 80 nucleotides in length. Their secondary structure includes four short double-helical elements and three loops (D, anti-codon, and T loops). Further hydrogen bonds mediate the characteristic L-shaped molecular structure. tRNAs have two regions of fundamental functional importance: the anti-codon, which is responsible for specific mRNA codon recognition, and the 3' end, to which the tRNAs corresponding amino acid is attached (by aminoacyl-tRNA synthetases). tRNAs cope with the degeneracy of the genetic code in two manners: having more than one tRNA (with a specific anti-codon) for a particular amino acid; and 'wobble' base-pairing, i.e. permitting non-standard base-pairing at the 3rd anti-codon position.
Source: RNAcentral
GCCGGCGUGGCGGAAUUGGCAGACGCGCUGGACUCAAAAUCCAGUUCCCGUUGAGGGAGUAUCGGUUCGACCCCGAUCGCCGGUACUA